GCCAUAUCGCUUCGUUCAGGUGCCCGCGCGAGCGGGAGAAUCGGGAAUCCGGUGAAAAUCCGGAACGUGCCCACCGCUGUGACGGGGACGGUCUUGCACUGAAAUCUUGAGGUUUAUCAAGAUUUUGCCACUGGAUCUUCAUGUGAUCCGGGAAGGCAGCAAGAUCGGCUGAUCCGCAGUCAGAAGACCGGCCUGACAGGAUAGACCAGC
This 210-nucleotide non-coding RNA is filed under the name Rhizobium sp. Lineage: Bacteria; Pseudomonadati; Pseudomonadota; Alphaproteobacteria; Hyphomicrobiales; Rhizobiaceae. RNAcentral also lists the same sequence under 1 other name. The record is from RNAcentral.